AAUUCUCAACUCUCCUAUACUUUGUUGUAAAGGAGGGCUUGGACUGUGGAGGCUUGCUGGCCGCUCUUGCUGUGGUCAGCUCCUCUGAAAUGCAUUAGCAGAACUGUUUGCGAUCUGCCACAAGUGUGAUAAAUUAUCUACACUAGCGAGGGGAUUGCUCUCUGUGUUCAGCUUCUAAUCGUCUUCAGUGACAAUUUCUUGAAUGC
This 206-nucleotide unclassified non-coding RNA is filed under the name uncultured Agaricus. RNAcentral's name for it is "sequence contains ITS2". Lineage: Eukaryota; Fungi; Basidiomycota; Agaricomycetes; Agaricales; Agaricaceae. The record is from RNAcentral.